CAGUCGCCGCGGGAAUACGUAGGGUGCAAGCGUUAAUCGGAAUUACUGGGCGUAAAGCGUGCGCAGGCGGUUAUAUAAGACAGAGGUGAAAUCCCCGGGCUCAACCUGGGAACUGCCUUUGUGACUGCAAGGCUAGAGUACGGCAGAGGGGGAUGGAAUUCCGCGUGUAGCAGUGAAAUGCGUAGAUAUGCGGAGGAACACCGAUGGCGAAGGCAAUCCCCUGGGCCUGUACUGACGCUCAUGCACGAAAGCGUGGGGAGCAAACAGGAUUAGAUACCCGGGUAGUCCCUGUCUCUUAUAC
RNAcentral lists this ribosomal RNA (301 nucleotides) under uncultured bacterium. RNAcentral describes it as "partial 16S ribosomal RNA". It matches the Rfam family "Bacterial small subunit ribosomal RNA", at positions 509 to 807 of the family's 1533-position model. The record is from RNAcentral.